AAGCGCGGGUAAACGGCGGG
Molecule: non-coding RNA, 20 nt
Filed under: Arabidopsis thaliana (thale cress)
Lineage: Eukaryota; Viridiplantae; Streptophyta; Magnoliopsida; Brassicales; Brassicaceae
Also listed under: 1 other name
Source: RNAcentral